This 426-nucleotide ribosomal RNA is filed under the name uncultured bacterium. RNAcentral describes it as "partial 16S ribosomal RNA". It matches the Rfam family "Bacterial small subunit ribosomal RNA", at positions 354 to 796 of the family's 1533-position model. The record is from RNAcentral.
GUUAGGAAUCUUCCACAAUGGGGGCAACCCUGAUGGAGCAACACCGCGUGCUGGAUGAAGGCCUUCGGGUCGUAAACAGCUUUUGUAUACGAAGAAUAUGACGGUAAUAUACGAAUAAGGGUCGGCUAACUACGUGCCAGCAGCCGCGGUCAUACGUAGGACCCAAGCGUUAUCCGGAGUGACUGGGCGUAAAGAGUUGCGUAGGCGGCUUAUUAAGCGAGUAGUGAAAUCUGGUGGCUCAACCAUCAACACAUUGCUCGAGCUGAUAGGCUUGAGAAUGGUAGAGGUAGUUGGAAUUUCUUGUGUAGGAGUGAAAUCCGUAGAUAUAAGAAGGAACACCAAUGGCGUAGGCAGACUACGGGACCAUUUCUGACGCUGAGGCACGAAAGCGUGGGGGGCGAACCGGAUUAGAAACCCGUGUAGUCC